AGAGUUUGAUCCUGGCUCAGAAUGAACGUUGGCGGCGUGGAUUAGGCAUGCAAGUCGUACGCACAGCAAUGUGAGUGGCGCAAGGGUGAGUAAUGCGAAGGUAACCAACCCUGAAGUUGGGCAUAGCCGCGGGAAACUGCGGGUAAUUCCCAGCGACGUUGCGAGAUGGCAUCAUUUUGCAACCAAAGGUGUGAUUCCGCUUUAGGACGGGCCUUCGUGGUAUUAGGUAGUUGGUGAGGUAACGGCUCACCAAGCCUACGAUGCCUACCGGGUGUGAGAGCAUGACCCGGCACACUGGAACUGAGACACUGUCCAGACACCUACGGGUGGCUGCAGUCGAGAAUCUUCGGCAAUGGGCGAAAGCCUGACCGAGCGACGCCGCGUGAGGGAUUGAAGGCCUUCGGGUUGUAAACCUCUUUCGUAGAGGAGGAAGGGGCUGUGAAGAACAGUCCUUGACCUAUUCUAGGAAGAAGCUUGGGCUAAGUUCGUGCCAGCAGCCGCGGUAAGACGAACCAAGCGAACGUUAUUCGGAAUUACUGGGCUUAAAGCGCGUGUAGGCGGACUACCACGUUGGUUGUUGAAAUCCCCCGGCUUAACCGGGGAACUGGCACCAAUACGAGUAGUCUGGAGGUGGGUAGGGGAGACUGGAACUUCCGGUGGAGCGGUGAAAUGCGUUGAGAUCGGAAGGAACGCCCGCGGCGAAAGCGAGUCUCUGGACCCAUACUGACGCUGAGACGCGAAAGCCAGGGGAGCAAACGGGAUUAGAUACCCCGGUAGUCCUGGCUGUAAACAUUGGGCACUGGGUAGUGGAACCGCCGAUGGUUUCACUGCCGCA
Molecule: ribosomal RNA, 835 nt
Filed under: uncultured bacterium
Lineage: Bacteria
Description: bacterial SSU rRNA
Rfam family: Bacterial small subunit ribosomal RNA
Source: RNAcentral